Molecule: non-coding RNA, 1526 nt
Organism: Lolium perenne
Lineage: Eukaryota; Viridiplantae; Streptophyta; Magnoliopsida; Poales; Poaceae
Source: RefSeq, a predicted model, not a curated record
CCCCUCUCUUCACCUAUUUUACUCUCUCCCUCGCAUUGCUAUCCCUAUGUUGCGAUUCUUUAUCGAGUCACGUGUCCUAUUCCACUUGUUUACCAUAAUACUCCUAUAUGUAUCAUUCCUUACCCAUAGCCGUUGAUUGAUGUUUGAGCCUUGCGAGUCGUAGGCGUGUUUAGGCUCUGUUGUUAUCUCGAUCUGAUAUCGGGAAUUUUGGGUUAUUGGGAGGUUAUCACAUGCUAUAUCAGUUGUUGGAGAUACACAUGCUUUACUUAUUUGUUAACAACUAAAAUUGUAAGCAGAGGCAUCUGUGAGCCCCUUUGCGAAAGCAUCGGAACUUUGACUCGCUAAUGUCCCCUAGGACCCGAGUUCUUGUUAUCUGUUCCGAGAUUGAGCGCUCUACCCAUGCGUGGGGACGAUUAUUGGGACCCCCCUCACCCAUUACCUUUUCUCAAGUCAGUUGAAAAGGGGGCCACAACCUUGGUUUUAUUUGGCGCAUGCAUGUUUAUAUAUUGUUGCCUUCGGGUGUUUACUUCCUGUUGCCUUCGGGUGUUUAUUUUCUGUACUGUACCCCGCGGAACGUUUAGCGAAGCGUGUGGUUUGCACGCCUAGCCGUUAACGCAAACCCUGAGUCCGCUUCGGAGUACGGCCGGGUUUCGUUACGGGUAGCUUAGUCGGGUGGCCCCCCUAGACUUUCUUGUUGAACUGGGAACGGUCUUGUUGUGAGACAUCCACCUAUCUUAAGUGGGUCGAGCAUGCGUAUGGUUACAUUUGGGCAACCCCUGCAGGGUGUACAUCUUAUCGAUAAGCCGUGUCCGCGGUUAUGGACGACUUGGAAUUGUAUAGCUUGAUCAUAGAACAACUUACACCUUAUACUUGUUGUUAAUAAUCUGAUAAUAACUUGCGUAGUAAUAUAGCAUUACUACAACCGAUACCUAAUAAAACUUGUCCACCGUUGAGUGCCUUUUACAUUGCCUCUUCGCAAUUGUUGGAGGGGAUAUGUGUAAUCGGCUGGGUUAUGUUUGUGUAGUAUUUUAUCUAUCACCUUGUGCGCUCUCUUAUCUUAUCUGAUUAGACGGAUGUUGUAGCGUGUCUCUACUGGUUAUAGUUUUGCUGCCGCUAAACCUACCAUAUAGCCCCCGGCGAUAUAUAUAUUAUACUCGCCCGGCGAGCAUAGCCAUUUCUAGUCUCGCUAAGUACGUGCCGGAGUUCAUUCCUUGGUACUUACUCUCGCCUUUUCCCCUUUCUCUUUUGCUUCCUCCCUCUUGUCGGCAACCGAUGGCCCGACUUUGACAGGUACAAGAUGACGACGUUAGCAAGGUUACCCUUCCGGCUUGGCCUGGGCAGGGUUAUGGACGCCACUGGUUAUCUUCAGGACUCUUAGUCCAAUUUGUAUCUUGUCCGUACCCGGACGUAUUCGAUCUUCUGUAUGAUUUGGAUCUUUGUAUUGUAUAUUUGUAUCUUGACUCGUUGGAGUCGUUGUUGUAAUAUAUGUAUCUUGUGGGCUCUAUUGUAAUCCUGUUGUAAUGUUA